This 66-nucleotide transfer RNA is filed under the name Apogonia splendida. RNAcentral describes it as "tRNA-Pro". The record is from RNAcentral. Lineage: Eukaryota; Metazoa; Arthropoda; Insecta; Coleoptera; Scarabaeidae.
CAGAGAAUAGUUUAAUAAAAAAUAAUAAUUUUGGAGAUUAAUGAUGGGAGUUGAUCUUUUCUCUGA